GUGCUCGCUUUGGCAGCACAUACACUAAAAUUGAAACAAUACAGAGAAGAUUAGCAUGGCCCCCGCACAAGGAUGACGUGCAAAUUUGUGAAGCAUUUCAUUUUUUA
Small nuclear RNA from Cavia porcellus (domestic guinea pig), 107 nucleotides. The record is from Ensembl. NCBI's taxonomy places the organism in Eukaryota, Metazoa, Chordata, Mammalia, Rodentia, Caviidae.